UCUGGUUGAUUCUGCCAGUAGUCAUAUGCUUGUUUCAAGGACUAAGCCAUGCAUGCCUCAGAAUAACUCACUGCAGGAAUCUGCGCAUGGCUCAUUACAUCAGACGCAAUCUGCCGCAAACCUUUUGCGGUUUACCGCAUCAUUGGAUAACUCGCUGCGAAACGCCAAGCUAAUACAUGAGUCCAAAGGGUGUCUUCCAUUCACGCAGCCUUCACGGGUUGUAGCGAGGCACCUUGCGAAUGAAUGAAAUUAGAACCAAUGCCCUUCACGGGGCAGCAACACCAAGUAGUGUUGAAUCAAUUCAUUCCGUGCGAAAGCCGAAUUUUCGGCGUCUUUUGAUGAACAACUGCCCUAUCAGCCAAUGAUGGCCGUGUAGUGGACUGCCAUGGCGUUGACGGGAGCGGGGGAUUAGGGUUCGAUUCCGGAGAGGGAGCCUGAGAAACGGCUACCACUUCUACGGAGGGCAGCAGGCGCGCAAAUUGCCCAAUGCCGAGAAAUGUUGAGGCAGCGAAAAGAAAUAGGUCUUCUAGACGCCUUCCGGCGUUUGGAAGUUGCAAUGGGGGAUAUUUAAAGCCAUCCAAUAUCGAGUAACAAUUGGAGGACAAGUCUGGUGCCAGCACCCGCGGUAAUUCCAGCUCCAAGAGCGUAUAUUAACGCUGUUGCUGCUAAAGGGUUCGUAGUUGAAUUGAGGGGUUCAAAGUAGUUUGGUUAAGUCCCACUCGUUACCGAGUCGGUGACCGCCACUCUUGUUCCCCGUGAACAUUUUCGGAAACAUACAUCGCGGAAUCGUUUCCUCUCAAUCACGCAUGCAAUGUAUGCAGAGAGGCGUCCGUGUGUCUUACUGUGACUAAAAAAGCGCGACCAAAGCAGUCGAUCGACCUGAAUUUGAAAGCAUGGGAUAACAAAAGAUCAGCCUAUGGGCUACCGUUUCGGCUUUUGUUGGUUCUAAAGGUCUGUGGGAGAUUAUGGGCGCGCAUGACCAGCGGUUCGGGGUUUCGUCCCCACGCCUCCGUAGUUCAGUCUUCGGGCUGUUCGACGGCUUGCGUCGUCCAGGAAUGAAGGAGGGUUGUUCGGGGGAGAACGUACUUGGCGUGAGAGGUGAAAUUCUUAGACCGCUCAAAGACGAACUACAGCGAAGGCAUUCUCCAAGGAUACCUUCCUCAAUCAAGAACCAAAGUGUGGAGAUCGAAGAUGAUUAGAGACCAUUGUAGUCCACACCACAAACGAUGACCCCCACGAAUUGGGGAGUAUUUGGUAGUGAUGGGUCGGGUCCGCUCGCACUCAUCCUCCAAAAGAGAAAACAAUUUACGUGCACGCUCUGUUGCGCGGCUUCACGGCCGCGUGUUUCGGGAACACCCUCAGCACGUUCUCUUGUCUUUCACGCGAAAGCUCGAGGUUACAGUCUCAGGGGGGAGUACGUUCGCAAGAGUGAAACUUAAAGAAAUUGACGGAAUGGCACCACAAGACGUGGAGCGUGCGGUUUAAUUUGACCCAACACGGGGAACUUUACCAGAUCCGGACAGGGUUAGGAUUGACAGAUUGAGUGUUCUUUCUCGAUCCCUUGAAU
RNAcentral lists this ribosomal RNA (1567 nucleotides) under metagenome. RNAcentral describes it as "SSU rRNA". It matches the Rfam family "Eukaryotic small subunit ribosomal RNA", at positions 1 to 1275 of the family's 1831-position model. The record is from RNAcentral.